AUGGGCAUUCUUGCUGGGAAAAGCAGAGCUGAUUCUCUGACUUCCAGAAAGAUUUCCAUGAAGAGUACUGGGCACCUGAACCUCACUGGAACCCAACACCCAUCUGUGCUCAGAUCAAGCCCCAUUCUGGGGGGCCUCUGCUUUUGGAGCCGAAAGGCCUGGAAAGGCCACACAGCCCAGAAGCCGCGUGACCCAAUAGGGCUCUACGACACUACUGCACGCCAGGUCCCUGUGUUGCAACCAAUUGAGUUCGACCCGCCUGUGCACAGAGAUCCUACAUGCUUGUGCCUUGACCAGCUGCUACCAAAGUUCCAGGGAAAACAGUGAGUUAAACCUUCUUGGCCUGCCGCCUGUUGCAUCUGUUGUACUCAGUCCUGGCGCUCCACCCGAUUGGGAGAGUUUUAAAUUUCACACAGGCUUCUUCGAGGUUUUUACUGCCUUAGGCAGCAAAUACCACAGCCGCAUUCAGCCGCACGCAUUCAUUUAGAUCUAGCUGCCUGUGCAUGCCUGCAGCCUGGAGUUGAGAGCCGCAUGGCUGGGCCGAUUUUGUCCUGCCUUACCAAACCGAGCAAGUUUUCCUUUCUGUGCGGGCCUCCAAAGCCAAAAAAGCGCUACUGCCGCUGCAGUUUCUGUGGCCUGCAACCGCUGGCAGAAAAACCAGGCGUCCUCUGCUGAGACUGCACAUACUAUGUCCCCCUCCUGCGCUAAGAUUCCCAGCUCCAGGUCCCAAAGCUGCCCUACAGCUGGGCUGCCCGCUGCACCAACUCAGCCAUGAGCCUUCUGCAUCUGCAGAGCUUGGUCUCCACCCAGUACUGUUCUUUGAAGGUUUUCCCACACCUAGUAAACAGAGCCCCAAUCCGUUCUUAACACGCUCUGUAAGGAUUUUUCAAGAAAUUUCGGGUCCAACUCAAAAACAACUGCAACUGAACACCCGCGCCACCUGCUGGUCAAAAGUGGUUAUUGCAUCUGGAGUAGACGCAGCCUGAUUCAUCCAGCUGAAAACCUCCUAUCGCAUCUGGAGUAGAAGCUGACUG
Molecule: long non-coding RNA, 1034 nt
Filed under: Cricetulus griseus (Chinese hamster)
Lineage: Eukaryota; Metazoa; Chordata; Mammalia; Rodentia; Cricetidae
Description: lncRNA (ENSCGRG00000026657.1)
Source: RNAcentral